Molecule: ribosomal RNA, 2287 nt
Filed under: metagenome
Description: bacterial LSU rRNA
Rfam family: Archaeal large subunit ribosomal RNA
Source: RNAcentral
GCCGGUGUAAAGACGGUAAUAGAGGGAUUGCUAGGUUUGAGUAGAGAUGAAGGACGUGGCAAGCUGCGAUAAGCCCGGGGUAAGCGCACGCGACUUAUGAUCCCGGGAUGUCCGAAUGAGAAUCUUAUGUUUUAACAUACUCCGUUACAUAGGUGGCGGAGGUCGAACCGUCGGAAUUGAAGCAUCUUAGUACGACGUGGAAGAGAAAUCAAUAGAGAUUACCCAAGUAGUGGCGAACGAAAAGGUAACAGCCCAAACUGAAUCUGUUAUGGUAACUUAACAGAGAUGUGGUGUAUACGGACUCAUAUAAUGAUCCUAGAACGUAGUUGAAAUAAUCUGGAACGUUUUGGCAUAGAGGGUGAUACCCCCGUAGACGAAACGGUAUAGGAUCAGUUGAGUACCAGAGUAGAUGUCCUUGGUAGUGGGCAUCGAAUAUUAGGAGAAAGUAGCUUCUAAGGCUAAAUAUAACUCAAAACCGAUAGUGCACUAGUACCGUGAGGGAAAGCUGAAAAGUACCCCGGAAGGGGGGUGAAAAGUGCAUGAAAUCUAUUACUUACAGACGUGCAUAGCAUGAAAGGUGAUUUUUCCUUAUUGGAGGUUCUAGCAAUAGAGCUAAAGAUUUGGAGCUCAAAUCGUCAGUGUUAUGCGUUCCGUCUCGAAACACGGGCCAAGGAGCUGACUGUCAUGGCAAGACUAAACCAGACAAGGUGGAGUCGAAGGGAAACCGAGUUCUCGCAGCAUUAGCGAGGAGAAGCGUGUGAAAGUGCGUUGAGUCAUGGCGGCCAGGCUAGAAGCCAGUCGAUCUAAUCCUGAGCAAGCUGAAGGCGGGCGAAAGCCCGCUGGAGGGCUGAAGCAGUUCUGACGUGCAAAUCGUUUGUGUGACUUGGGAUUAGGGGUCAAAAACCAAUCUAGACUGGCGAUUGCUAGUUCCAACCGAAGCGUCUCGUAGGGCGUCCUUAGUGGAGAUAGCGUUUCCUGUAGAGCACUGAUAAGGAAGUAUGGGGAAGAAAUUCCUCGCUUCCCAUUCAAACUCCGAAGGGAUAUGCAUUGAAGAAGCUAGGAGACGGGUUCGUGUGACGUAAGGUUCACGACCGAGAGGGGUUUAACCCAGACCGAAGUUAAGGUCCCCAAAUUUUUGCUAAGUGUCAAGCUAAAGUGUGUGUUCGCGCCAAGACAGCAGGGAGGUAAGCUCAGAAGCAGCUAUCCUUUAAAAAGUGUGUAACAACUUACCUGCCGAGCGUGGGCGCCACAAAAACGGACGGGGCUAAAGCAAAGUACCGAUACUUUGGAUACAUGCCAAGGGGCAUGUCAUGGUAGGUUGGCGUAGUGAUUGGGUCGAAGCAGGGCGGUGACGUCCUGUGGACCAUUUUCUAUUGCAGAUCUUGGCGGCAGUAACAGCAUAGUAGAGUGAGAACCUCUACCACCGCAAGCGCAAGGGUUUCCAGGCAAUGCGUUAUCAGCCUGGAGUUAGUCGAUCCUAAGGAUUACCUCAACAGAGUAAUUCGAAAGGGAAACUGGUUAAUAUUCCAGUACCUUGCAAGUUGCGUUAUUAUCUAUAUGGACCGCUUCCGGAUAGGGAGAGCAUAACCAUCGUUGUGUCUAAGCGUUCGAGGGAUGGGGAGUGUCGUAAUGACGAGAACCAUUCCGAGGCGUUAAUGGCUCUGCGUUAGCAGAGUUCUCUUGAUUCCAGGGGACCUUGAAAAUCUGUGUAGAGAGCGACUUGUAAGUUCGUACCGAGAACCGACACAGGUGCGCUGGCUUAGAAAGCUAAGGUGCUACGGGUAUACCGUAUGGUGAGGGAAUUCGGCAAAUUAGUCCUGUAGCUUAGGUAUAAGGGAUGCCUGCACACUUCAUGAGGAAUGGGGUGAGCAGGUUGCAAUGACAAGGGGGUUUCGACUGUUUAAUAAAAACACAGGCGACUGCUAGUCCGAAAGGAUUUGUAUAGUCGCUGAAUCCUGGCCGGUGCGGGUACCUAAAACUUGGGUUCAACCGAGCUAAGGGCCCGUUAACGCCGGGAGUAACUCUGACUCUCUUAAGGUAGCCAAAUGCCUUGUCGGGUAAGUUCCGACGCGCAUGAAUGGAACAACGAGAGCCCCACUGUCCCCACCUACAACCCGGUGAAGCCACAUAAGGUGGACGAACAGUCCAUCAUCUUCCAUCGGGGAGAGAAGACCCCGUGGAGUUUUACUGCAGCUUGUGCUUGUAGUAUAGUAAAGAUUACAUAGUGUAUNUGGGAGCNAUGCCUCAUUUUCUUUGGGAAAUGAGUGAAGCAACGAUGUAACACCAA